Molecule: transfer RNA, 95 nt
Filed under: Bradyrhizobium iriomotense
Lineage: Bacteria; Pseudomonadati; Pseudomonadota; Alphaproteobacteria; Hyphomicrobiales; Nitrobacteraceae
Description: tRNA-Ser
Source: RNAcentral
GUGUGCCCUGGGCCAUCUUGCGCAGGCGGACGGCUUCUUGAGCGAGCCGUUCUUCGAGUGAGGAAGUCUGUGUAGUGCGACGCCGAUUGAACAUG